GCAGGUUGGUGGUUUCAAGGGACUGUAGGAGAGAAUGAGAAGAAGCUGCUUAGUGGACCUGUUCCCAGCCAGAGUCCAGUGAGGAAGCAAUGUGGGCAGGUGGAGGCCGGAUUAGGAAGAAGCAGAGCCAUGGCCAGGGGAAAAUAAAGAGGCAUGCCUGAAGCUCCAGAGAGGCAUCGAGGAGGCUGAUAAAGCAAAGUCAAUGAGAAAAUUGGCUCAUAAACAAACUUCAAGAAGUAAAUUUGACAAAAUCUUCUUGGCUGAUUGAGAUUUGCAGAUGCCAAGUGAAAGAUGGGGCAACAGUGGUGAAAUACUCUCUUGAAUCCAGCACAGGAGGGAGAAGAGUAAAGAAAGCUCCUCACACCUGUGAAGGGAGCACAACCACCCUCCUGAGAUGGAAGUAUGACCCCACGAGGGAGGCGAGAAUACUCUGAUGGAGCUCCAUGCCCCGGUGAGGACGAGAGACGAGGGACAAGUCUGCAGGGCAGGACCACCUCAGGCAGCUCUCCUCCUCUGUUCCUUUUUGACCUGAACAGGCAGUAUUUGAAAGCAACUACACGGAGUGCCCCCAGGCUUGUGAGCUUGAAGAAAGUGACCCUGCAGCCAACCAGGGCUCUUCCCUGAUACAGUGAACAGCAACACAGCAAAAGGAGCUCUCAUUACAGUGCACAUUACAUACCACAGAUGAGAAAACUGAGACACACACCAAAAACCCUCCCAGUAGGAUAGAGUUAGUGAGUUAUAGAGCCAGGAUUCUCAAGGAGACAGCCAGAUUCCAGAGGCCAAACUCUUUCUGACGAAGCCGUAUUGUUGCAUUCAGGAGGACCCCCGGGUGUUGCUACAAAGGGCAGCCAGGUUCAAGUGGAAGCCAUGGCAGAAAGUUGGCCCUGGUGCUUCCUCACCAAAGAAAGAGAACAAGAAUGGCAGAGAUGAUACAGAUCCAACGGAAAUGUGCAAGGCCAUGGCUCCCUCCACACUCUGCUC
This 984-nucleotide long non-coding RNA is filed under the name Equus asinus (donkey). RNAcentral's name for it is "lncRNA (ENSEASG00005034826.1)". The record is from RNAcentral. Lineage: Eukaryota; Metazoa; Chordata; Mammalia; Perissodactyla; Equidae.